CUACCCGUGGCGGACGGCGCCUGACCGCUGGCUGCUGGGAGUAGCCGUGGUGAUUGUCGCGGCGCUGUUCGGUUCCUGGCGCAGAUUGC
Molecule: transfer RNA, 89 nt
Filed under: Mycolicibacterium helvum
Lineage: Bacteria; Bacillati; Actinomycetota; Actinomycetes; Mycobacteriales; Mycobacteriaceae
Description: tRNA-Pro
Source: RNAcentral